AAUGUAGUUGCGGAUUAGCACAUACUAGUAAUAUUUGUUGCGAAACAAUUUUAAAAAUGGUAUCGUUUGACAGAUUAAAACAAGGGCAUGUUGUUCAAUUUAGAUUUCAAUAAUGCUAUCUUAUAACGUUGUCUUUAGAAGAGUUAGCUAAUUGUGAUGUCAAAUAAAAUAACCAACUCGCUUUGCACUACUUACUGGAGAUAUAAAACUGAUAUUUUCUGAUGAUGCAAUUGAGGAACAAGAAACAGUAUCAAUUGGACUAGAGGUAAGUGGCAAUGACUGUGAGACUGUCAGCACCAGGGCAUGGAACUCAAAUGGCUUGUUGCAAAAGUCAGCUACAUUAGUGGUAUUUCUUGAAAAGUUAUAAGACCGUUUUUUUACUACACUAAAAAGUUUUUGGAUUUCAUUUUUUCAAGUGUUAAUGCUAAAAUGCUCAUAAACUUGUGCAACAGUUUUAUUAAAUAACUCUCCAUUGUUAAUAAAUAUAAACAGUAUAUGUCCAUUUCUACAAUCAAUGCUCGUUUUGAUAGCCAAUGUAAAGUUAGCUAUUAUAUAUUUUUUUAAAUUGCCAAUAAGCAUUAUUUUUGUCUUGGGAGGCAUGAUACCUUUAAAAAUUAUAAAUUUAUUUAAUUGCAUAACUAAUGAACAAUAGGAUAACUACAUAAAUAUAAAAAAAUAUAAAAAUGAGGUAAGUAAAAGUACAAUAAAAAUUUUAAAUACUUUUGGUACACAACAGUCGGGUUCAAAAUUUGAACUCUAAACACUUUUUAUAUAGCACAGAAUUACAUUAACUUCUUUUUUGGUUAGAUAAAGAUGAAGUUCUACAUACUAACACAUAAAGGCACUUAGGUUUUGACCUUUUUAUUUACAUUUUUUAAAUUACAAUAACAACACCUUUUAACUUCAAGUUAAACAUUCAAAGUAAUGUAAUCAAAAGUCAAACUUGUGAUUAUAUCACAAACAUAAUUACAUCAGAUAUGUCAUAAGUUAAAGUCAGACAUCAUAAACUCUUAAGGAUGAGUUACAUUAUGUAGAUCUUCAAACCAACUAACUUAAAAUCUUUUUUUUAAAUACAAAAUGACAAAUAAUUCCUGAUAUAAUACACUGACUAAUUUUACGAAGUGCUUCAUUAUCUAAAAGAAAAGUUUUUUACACAUAAGUAAUUUUUUAUAAUUAAGUUUUAUAUAAUUAAGUAAUUAGAAUAAUUUUUUUAUAUCAUAAAAAAAAUUGUUUGUAAAUAUAUAUUAAUUAAACCUUUAGGCUAUACUCUUUCAUCGACAAUGAAUGGAUAACUGAUUAUAAUUUAAGUAAAUUAAAUCUAAAUUAGAUUAAAUUGAACAGUUAUCUAUAUUUGUAUCAGAUUAUAUUGCUAAAUGUUGUUAACGAAAUCCCCCUCAUCCGCUCACCGUUAAACUGUUAAAAAAAAAAUUAGGUACCAAAAGUGCUUGUAAAAAUAAGGAAUGUGCUAAUCAAAAUAAAGCAAUGAAAUUGGGAAGGUGCAUAAAAAAUAUGUAAACUUAAAAAUAAGAACAGGUAGGAAAAUUUACUCAGCAUUUUUUCAAGGUUUACUAAACGUCUAAAGUACUACCAAGUUUUGGAUGUAAAUAAAUUACCUUAAAAAGUUUGUCAUUGUAAUCAAAAGACACAUAGAAAUAAAAUUUAAUUACUCUAGAUUUUAAAUAAUAACUAUGUUAAUAUAAAAUUCUAAAAAAUAAGACUGCAAAACACCAUCCUACCAUGCACGUCAACACAAAAGUCGAAAAAACGGAGAACAGUAUUUUGGUAUAAAACUCGGUACCGUGAAACACGUAUUGCUACGUACCUAACAUUAACUUUAGUUAUAACUUAAUAAUUAAUGACUUGAUUUAUAGAUUUUUAAAGCAUUACAAGAUUGAAUUUAACAGAAGGCUAAACUUCUGCUCUGGAGACAAAAAAGGAAGACAGGAAAAAUUACCAGCCAAAAUAAAGAUUAAAGAGACAAAUUAUUGUGUAUAUCUUGGUGUAGAUGAUUUAUACUCAAUUUCAUAUAAUAAAACAAAAAAUAUUAUUAAACUUUGAAAUUUACCUGUAACUCUAAACUCUUUACAGAAGUUCAAUGUUUGCUCUGAGUAGUUAAAUGAACAAAAUUUAUUAAAUGGUAAGUUUUUAUAUAAAAGUCUUUAUGUCUGAUGAUUAAAAAUCUUUAUUCAUAGCUUUA
Hydra vulgaris (swiftwater hydra) is the source of this 2197-nucleotide long non-coding RNA. RefSeq lists it as uncharacterized. The record is from RefSeq and is a predicted model, not a curated record. NCBI's taxonomy places the organism in Eukaryota, Metazoa, Cnidaria, Hydrozoa, Anthoathecata, Hydridae.